AGGUGGGAUGUUCGGGCUUCCAACCAUAGACGCAGGUCCAGGAGGUGGGGGAUAUAGGCUUCCAACCCCAGAAGCAGGUCCAGGAGGAGCAUUCAGGCUUCCAACCCCAGACACUGGUCCAGGAGAUGGGACGUUCGGGCUUCCAACCGUAGACGUAGGUCCAGGAGGUGGGGGAUAUAGACUUCCAACCCCAGAAGCAGGUUCAGGAGGAGGGGGAUAUAGGUUUCCAACCCCAGACACUGGUCCAAGAGGUGGGGGAUAUAGGCUUCCAACCCCAGAAGCAGGUCCACGAGGAGGGGGAUAUAGGUUUCCAACCCCAGACACUGGUCUAGGAGGUGGGACAUUUGGGCUUCCAACCCUAGACGCAGGUCCAGGAGGUGGGACAUUUGGGCUUCCAACCCUAGACGCAGGUCCAGGAGGUGGGACAUUUGGGCUUCCAACCCUAGACGCAGGUCCAGGAGGUGGGACAUUUGGGCUUCCAACCCUAGACGCAGGUCCAGGAGGUGGGGCAUUUGGGCUUCCAACCCCAGAUGCAGGUGUAGAAGGUGGGGGGUUCAAACUUGCAACCCCAGACGUAGUUACAGGAGGUGGGGCAUUCAA
RNAcentral lists this long non-coding RNA (600 nucleotides) under Capsicum annuum. Its description in RNAcentral is "long non-coding RNA (CANN_LNC016242)". The record is from RNAcentral. Lineage: Eukaryota; Viridiplantae; Streptophyta; Magnoliopsida; Solanales; Solanaceae.